RNAcentral lists this ribosomal RNA (98 nucleotides) under Pseudomonas aeruginosa. The record is from RNAcentral. RNAcentral also lists the same sequence under 1 other name. Lineage: Bacteria; Pseudomonadati; Pseudomonadota; Gammaproteobacteria; Pseudomonadales; Pseudomonadaceae.
CUUGACGAUCAUAGAGCGUUGGAACCACCUGAUCCCUUCCCGAACUCAGAAGUGAAACGACGCAUCGCCGAUGGUAGUGUGGGGUCUCCCCAUGUGAG